AGGAAACCAUUUGUGUUUAUUGAUCCAUAUAUGUUCUGUCAUUAAGAGACCGUUAAUCAUUUGACUCAGGAAUAUCUGUUUAAGGCAGGACAAAAGACCAAACAACAGGAAGGAGUUUGCAUUUUCCAAAUGAAAAUAUUUCUAUAAAGUUUAGAAAAUGGAGAAGAAACAGACUAGAACUAAAAUCUUCACCUGAAAUGAAGAGACUAUAAGCUUCUGAAGGGCAGAGAAUAUCUCUGUAUCCCUUAGGGAAUAUUGGUUUGUAUCCUCAGUGCUUAUAGAUAGUAGAAUGACUCUAUCUACCUAUGAAGUCCUCACUGUCGUCAUCAUCGUGAGAAAAAGCCCUUUGAAAGGAACAUAAUAUUUUAAACCUCUUCAUCCUUCCCUGAAAUAUCUUUUACUUCGAAAGAGAUACAUAAAAUAUUUAAGCCUAGAAAAUCUAGCCUAACAAUGCCAUUCUACCGAAGACGACGAUGACGCCCAGUGACCUAAGUCUCACACUGAUUCACUAACAAAACUGAGACAAGUUGGAGAAUAUUCCAAAGAAGAUAUAUAAAUGGCCAAUAAGCACAGGAUAAGAAGCCCAACAUCAUCAGCCUUUAGGGAAAUGUCAAUGAGAACCACAAUGAGAUACAACCUCACACCCAUGAAGAUGGCAACAGUCAAAAAGACAAUAACAAGUGCUGAAUCUAAAACUGAACGGGGACCUUGUGAACAUUCUAGUUUUUGUCUGUUGGAAGAAGAGUUAUAUGGGGAUGUGAAAGACCAGGAGACCCAGAAUCCUGACAGACCUAUCAGAGAGGCAGAGUAGUCCUAUGACAGAGGCAGCCACAGAAGCUCAUGCCCACAUGCCUGUCCCUCUAUCUGGAGACGGCAUACUCACCAUAACAAGAGUCUGUGACUGAGCAGGAGGCAGCGAAGUCUAUCUGUAGGAAGGAAUCCUCAUUCACGGCAACGUCUGUGCUGACCACGUAA
Molecule: long non-coding RNA, 975 nt
Filed under: Homo sapiens (human)
Lineage: Eukaryota; Metazoa; Chordata; Mammalia; Primates; Hominidae
Description: HSALNT0126751
Source: RNAcentral